GUACUGUCGAAGAGUCCCGCAAUAGGACGAAACGGCCGUCCAGUGC
Non-coding RNA from Schistosoma haematobium, 46 nucleotides. The record is from Rfam. Lineage: Eukaryota; Metazoa; Platyhelminthes; Trematoda; Strigeidida; Schistosomatidae.